Molecule: ribosomal RNA, 440 nt
Filed under: uncultured bacterium
Lineage: Bacteria
Description: partial 16S ribosomal RNA
Rfam family: Bacterial small subunit ribosomal RNA
Source: RNAcentral
CCUACGGGUGGCUGCAGUGGGGAAUAUUGGACAAUGGGCGAAAGCCUGAUCCAGCCAUGUCGCGUGAGUGACGAAGGCCUUAGGGUUGUAAAGCUCUUUUGGCGGGGACGAUAAUGACGGUACCCGCAGAAUAAGCCCCGGCUAACUUCGUGCCAGCAGCCGCGGUAAUACGAAGGGGGCUAGCGUUGUUCGGAAUCACUGGGCGUAAAGCGCACGUAGGCGGAUUUGUUAGUCAGGGGUGAAAUCCCGGGGCUCAACCUCGGAACUGCCUUUGAUACUGCAAGUCUUGAGUCCGGAAGAGGUGAGUGGAAUUCCUAGUGUAGAGGUGAAAUUCGUAGAUAUUAGGAAGAACACCAGUGGCGAAGGCGGCUCACUGGUCCGGUACUGACGCUGAGGUGCGAAAGCGUGGGGAGCAAACAGGAUUAGAUACCCCGGUAGUC